Mastomys coucha (southern multimammate mouse) is the source of this 142-nucleotide small nucleolar RNA. RefSeq annotates it as small nucleolar RNA SNORA48. The transcript has a single exon. The record is from RefSeq and is a predicted model, not a curated record. Lineage: Eukaryota; Metazoa; Chordata; Mammalia; Rodentia; Muridae.
UCCCACUGGCAAUGAGCAAAGAGACACCAUUGGUGGUGGUGUUUUUAUAUCAGUCAGGGGCAGUGCAGAUGGCAGUGCCUUGUUCAUCCUAGCUUGUUGCCUGGCUUGGUGACCAAAGCUAUUUUAUGCCUAGGACUCAUAA